Molecule: long non-coding RNA, 823 nt
Organism: Parus major (Great Tit)
Lineage: Eukaryota; Metazoa; Chordata; Aves; Passeriformes; Paridae
Exons: 4
Source: RefSeq, a predicted model, not a curated record
GAAAAAUUUCAGGGUUCGGAAGGCAAGAAGGAAGAUGAAGAAAAGAAGUAUCUUGAUGUCAUCAGCAACAAAAACAUAAAGCUGUCAGAGAGAGUUCUGAUCCCUGUCAAACAAUAUCCAAAGUUCAAUUUUGUUGGGAAAUUGCUUGGACCAAGAGGAAACUCUUUAAAGAGGUUACAAGAAGAAACAGGUGCAAAAAUGUCCAUCCUGGGAAAAGGAUCCAUGAGGGAUAAAGCUAAGGAGGAAGAACUAAGGAAAAGUGGAGAAGCCAAAUAUGCGCACUUGAGUGAUGAGCUCCACGUAUUAAUUGAAGUGUUUGCUCCACCUGGGGAAGCGUAUUCUCGUAUGAGUCAUGCCUUGGAAGAAAUAAAAAAAUUCCUGGUUCCAGGCAGGUUUUUCACCAGUGGCAGAUGAGAAGAAAUUACUCCACUGCAGGUUAAAAAAUUCAUGCAGAAGAUUUUGAAUCUCACAGUAUUGCUUCUGGUUUCUUAAUUGCUGGUCUGUAAUAUGUAGCAAGAAAUUUGCUUUGGUAUUGCACAUUAGACCGUUCAUCUUAGCAACACCAGCAGACCCUCUUGCACACAUGGCAUUUCAUUUAAAGCUCUGUGUGUGAGUACAAAUUUGGUCAAUCAACUCAACAAUUAAGAUAGUUUACUUGACCCAGUGAAGAGUCUGCAGCUUUCUGGUUUGAAAAUGAACUUCCAUGUGGUUCUGUAUAAAAGUAGAUAUAGAAACUAUAUUUAAAAUAAUUGCUUUUGAUGCAAGAAAUUACUUUGUAAUAAUGAUUAAAAAAAUGUUCAAGAUGUUGUUAAGUGUUCCUAUC